RNAcentral lists this ribosomal RNA (223 nucleotides) under uncultured bacterium. RNAcentral's name for it is "partial 16S ribosomal RNA". It matches the Rfam family "Bacterial small subunit ribosomal RNA", at positions 28 to 250 of the family's 1533-position model. The record is from RNAcentral.
GACGAACGCUGGCGGCGUGCUUAACACAUGCAAGUCGAGCGGUAAGGCCCUUUCGGGGGUACGACGAGCGGCGAACGGGUGAGUAACACGUGGGUGACCUGCCCUCAGCUCUGGGAUAAGCCCGGGAACGUAGGGUCUAAUACCGGAUAUGACUUCAUGACGCAUGUUGUGGAGUGGAAAGCCUUGUGCGGCUGAGGAUGGGCCCGCGGCCUAUCAGCUUGUG